This 79-nucleotide small nuclear RNA is filed under the name Terrapene triunguis (Three-toed box turtle). RNAcentral's name for it is "Terrapene carolina triunguis (Three-toed box turtle) U2 spliceosomal RNA (ENSTMTG00000010757.1)". It matches the Rfam family "U2 spliceosomal RNA", at positions 107 to 185 of the family's 192-position model. From Rfam's summary of the family: U2 is a small nuclear RNA (snRNA) component of the spliceosome (involved in pre-mRNA splicing). Complementary binding between U2 snRNA (in an area lying towards the 5' end but 3' to hairpin I) and the branchpoint sequence (BPS) of the intron results the bulging out of an unpaired adenosine, on the BPS, which initiates a nucleophilic attack at the intronic 5' splice site, thus starting the first of two transesterification reactions that mediate splicing. The record is from Rfam by way of RNAcentral. Lineage: Eukaryota; Metazoa; Chordata; Testudines; Emydidae.
GAACAGGGAGAUGGAAUAGGAGCUUGCUCCAUCCCCUCCACGCAUCGACCUGGUAUUGCAGUACCUCCAGGAACGGUGC